AAUUGGAGAAGCUCCCAAGAGAGUGUCAAUCCCCCUGUACUUGCAAGAUUUACAGUAAACAACUCCUCUUACACCAACAAACUUCCUGGUUGGAAGAGGAGAUGGUGGUUUAACUGGUGGAUGAGCAGGCGGAGUUGGUGGUUUACUAGGCGAAUGAGCAGGUGGAGUUGGUGGUUUAACAGGCGGAGACGGUGGUUUGACUGGUGGUGAAGAGUGAGAGGGAGAAGAAGCUGGGGCUUGGCCGUGCUUGUGGUGGUGGUGGUGGUGGUGUUGGCCGCCAUUAUGAGGCUUAGGGGUUUCAACGGGUGGGAAGCUAACAAGGGAAU
Molecule: long non-coding RNA, 326 nt
Filed under: Nicotiana tabacum (common tobacco)
Lineage: Eukaryota; Viridiplantae; Streptophyta; Magnoliopsida; Solanales; Solanaceae
Description: long non-coding RNA (NTAB_LNC008521)
Source: RNAcentral